AUGGCGCCGCAUCACCGCCGACGGCUCCUUCCUGGCCGCCCACGCUGCCCACGCGGCCAGCUGCACGCGUAUGACCCUAGCUCCUUGGCAGUGGAAACCAUCCGCCUAUCUCUUGAUCCCAGGCCUAGGCCGAUCCGCUUUCUUUGCAACCGAACCCAUCUAAUGUGGUGCCGAGUAUUGUAUUCUCUGGACGGCCUGCUGGUGUUGGAGCCACGACCCAGCCGCUACAUUAUCUGCAACCCGAUGACCAGACAGUCAGCCAGCUUGCCGCCGUUGGCUCCACAGCCGUGCUUCACCGCCUUUGCCUGCGGCUUUUACUUGCACGGCUCCUCCAACGAGUAUCGCCUCUUGUGCCAUUGUUUGCAAGGAGAAGCCAGGGAGCACUCCUACUACAUCCUCUCCACUGCCAGCACCUUGCCUCGACGACAGGGCCGCGCACCAACUCCAGCAGACCUACCCACCAGCUGGGUCCGGUAUGAAGUUCCUGUGGCUCACUGCGGCAUCCUCCAUUGGUUCUCUCUGCACCCGGAAGCUACCCGCACCGGCAAGAUGCUGGCGUUCCAUACGGUUUCCGAGACGUUCCGCCUCAUGUCGCGGCCGCCGGAGCGACCCGGCGAUACUACCACAAGCUGGAGCUUGUUCGAGCUAGACGGCGAGCUCUGCGUCGCGGCUAUGCAAAGCGAGACAUCGCUGGACAUCUGGGUGUUGCAGGACUACAAGGCGGAGAGCUGGAUGCUGCGCCAUCGGGUCACAAUGUUAGGUGGCAGCAACGCUAUGACGAUGACAAUGGUAGUCUCCGUUGGAAGCGGCGCCAUCCUCAUUGGAAGUCGCUAUUGCGAUGUGGCCAGAUUGUACAAUCUCAAAGACAAGAAGACGCACAAGGAUGUAAUCUUCGGCCCCUCAUUACCCACCUUCUUGCUAUUCAAUGAGAGCCUCGUGUCGCAUGCCUUCUUCGAUUCGCCUCCGCACCCUGACUUUGAAUCCAUAAGCUUCUCUCCUCGCAGAGGAGGUACAGGCCGGAACCAACGCGUACCGGCGUACGUACGUUGUGGUAAAAAGAUGGAGACGGCGCGGGGUGGUGUGGGCCUGUGCGACGACGUCCUCGUGGAGAUCCUUGUCCGUCUACCGUCUAAGUCGGUGCUCCGCUGCCGCGCCGUGUGCAAGAGAUGGCGCCGCAUCACCACCGACGGCUCCUUCCUGGCCGCCCACGCUGCCCACGCGGCCAGCUGCACGCGCGAGAUGAUCAUCCGCCCCGGGCACGUGUAUGACCCUAGCUCCUUAUUGGCCGUGGAAACCAUCCGUCUAUCUCUUGAUCCCAGGCCUAGGCCGAUCCGCUUUCUUUGCAACCGAACCCAUCUAAUGUGGUGCCAAGUAUUGUAUUCUCUGGACGGCCUGCUGGUGUUGGAGCCACGACCCAGCCGCUACAUUAUCUGCAACCCGAUGACCAGACAGUCAGCCAGCUUGCCGCCGUUGGCUCCACAGCCGUGCUUCACCGCCUGUGCCUGCGGCUUUUACUUGCACGGCUCCUCCAACGAGUAUCGCCUCUUGUGCCAUUGCUUGCAAGGAGAAGCCAGGGAGCACUCCUACUACAUCCUCUCCACUGCCAGCACCUUGCCUCGACGACUGGGCCGCGCACCAACUCCAGCAGACCUACCCACCAGCUGGGUCCGGUAUGAAGUUCCUGUGGCUCACCGCGGCAUCCUCCAUUGGUUCUCUGAGCACUCGGAAGCUACCCGCACCGGCAAGAUGCUGGCGUUCCAUACGGUUUCCGAGACGUUCCGCCUCAUGUCGCGGCCGCCGGAGCGACCCGGCGAUACUACCACAAGCUGGAGCUUGUUUGAGCUAGACGGCGAGCUCUGUGUCGCGGCUAUGCAACGCGAGACAUCGCUGGACAUCUGGGUGUUGCAGGACUACAAGGCGGAGAGCUGGAUGCUGCGCCAUCGGGUCACAAUGUUGGGUGGCAGCAAGGCUGUGACGAUGACAAUGGUAGUCUCCGUUGGAAGCGGCGCCAUCCUCAUUGGAAGUCCCUAUUGCGAUGUGGCCAGAUUGUACAAUCUCAAAGACAAGAAGACGCACAAGGAUGUAAUCUUCGGCCCCUCAUUACCCACCUUCUUGCUAUUCAGUGAGAGCCUCGUGUCGCAUGCCUUCUUCGAUUCGCCUCCGCACCCUGACUUUGAAUCCAUAAGCUUCUCUUCUCGCAGAGGAGGCACACGCCAUGCUGACGCCCAGGGAGCGGGGGAUGAUGUGCUGGCGCCUGAACUACAGGAAGCUGACCCUGGAGGCGUGCAAGGACCUGUUGUCGCAGCAGCCGCCCAAGCUCUGAACCCCUUGUUUGUCGUCGAAGGAGAAGCCAGGGAGCACUCCUACUACAUCCUCUCCACUGCCAGCACCUUGCCUCGACGACUGGGCCGCGCACCAACUCCAGCAGACCUACCCACCAGCUGGGUCCGGUAUGAAGUUCCUGUGGCUCACUGCGGCAUCCUCCAUUGGUUCUCUCUGCACCCGGAAGCUACCCGCACCGGCAAGAUGCUGGCGUUCCAUACGGUUUCCGAGACGUUCCGCCUCAUGUCGCGGCCGCCGGAGCGACCCGGCGAUACUACCACAAGCUGGAGCUUGUUCGAGCUAGACGGCGAGCUCUGCGUCGCGGCUACGCAAAGCGAGACAUCGCUGGACAUCUGGGUGUUGCAGGACUACAAGGCGGAGAGCUGGAUGCUGCGCCAUCGGGUCACAAUGUUGGGUGGCAGCAACGCUGUGACGAUGACAAUGGUAGUCUCCGUUGGAAGCGGCGCCAUCCUCAUUGGAAGUCGCUAUUGCGAUGUGGCCAGAUUGUACAAUCUCAAAGACAAGAAGACGCACAAGGAUGUAAUCUUCGGCCCCUCAUUACCCACCUUCUUGCUAUUCAGUGAGAACCUCGUGUCGCAUGCCUUCUUCGAUUCGCCUCCGCACCCUGACUUUGAAUCCAUAAGCUUCUCUUCUCGCAGAGGAGGUAGCUAG
RNAcentral lists this ribosomal RNA (2994 nucleotides) under Triticum aestivum (bread wheat). RNAcentral's name for it is "partial small subunit ribosomal RNA". The record is from RNAcentral. Lineage: Eukaryota; Viridiplantae; Streptophyta; Magnoliopsida; Poales; Poaceae.